Molecule: ribosomal RNA, 300 nt
Filed under: uncultured Vibrio sp.
Lineage: Bacteria; Pseudomonadati; Pseudomonadota; Gammaproteobacteria; Vibrionales; Vibrionaceae
Description: bacterial SSU rRNA
Rfam family: Bacterial small subunit ribosomal RNA
Source: RNAcentral
GGCUAACACAUGCAAGUCGAGCGGAAACGAGAAUAGCUUGCUAUUCGGCGUCGAGCGGCGGACGGGUGAGUAAUGCCUGGGAAAUUGCCCUGAUGUGGGGGAUAACCAUUGGAAACGAUGGCUAAUACCGCAUAACGCCUUCGGGCCAAAGAGGGGGACCUUCGGGCCUCUCGCGUCAGGAUAUGCCCAGGUGGGAUUAGCUAGUUGGUGAGGUAAAGGCUCACCAAGGCGACGAUCCCUAGCUGGUCUGAGAGGAUGAUCAGCCACACUGGAACUGAGACACGGUCCAGACUCCUACGG